Molecule: small RNA, 574 nt
Filed under: Pongo abelii (Sumatran orangutan)
Lineage: Eukaryota; Metazoa; Chordata; Mammalia; Primates; Hominidae
Description: retained intron
Source: RNAcentral
GAAAAUCAAACCGUUACCAUUAGGAGCCCUCCACGCUUAACAUAUCCGUUCUUUCUCGUUUGAAAGUAACCAGGCUGCUCCUCCCCAUUUUUUGCCUUCUUCUCGCAGAGGCCGAGAGACUAACCUUACACAACAUGGCGGCCUGGUGUGUCUGGUGUCCUAGAGCGGACGAAAGCAGGUGAUUCUCUAGUCAACUUCCGACUUGGACUCCGAAGAUCGCUACAGAAAGAUCUAGAAGAGGUAAAGGUGUUGCUGGAAAAGGCUACUAGGAAAAGAGUACGUGAUGCCCUUACAGCUGAAAAAUCCAAGAUUGAGACAGAAAUCAAGAACAAGAUGCAACAGAAAUCACAGAAGAAAGCAGAACUUCUUGAUAAUGAAAAACCAGCUGCUGUGGUUGCUCCCAUUACAACGGGCUAUACGGUGAAAAUCAGUAAUUAUGGUAUGACUUGCUUCCCUAUAGCCAGUUCUGCCUCCGAGCAACCUAUUCCUUAUAGUGGUCUAACAAAUUCAUCCCCAGUGAGUUUUGAGUCUGUGUUUUUGGUGGCUUGGAGCAAGACCCAUCAGUUUUUAUUUA